This 67-nucleotide ribosomal RNA is filed under the name Janthinobacterium lividum. RNAcentral's name for it is "partial 16S rRNA. Bacterial SSU". It matches the Rfam family "Bacterial small subunit ribosomal RNA", at positions 1 to 65 of the family's 1533-position model. The record is from RNAcentral. RNAcentral also lists the same sequence under 2 other names. Lineage: Bacteria; Pseudomonadati; Pseudomonadota; Betaproteobacteria; Burkholderiales; Oxalobacteraceae.
UUAAACUGAAGAGUUUGAUCCUGGCUCAGAUUGAACGCUGGCGGCAUGCCUUACACAUGCAAGUCGA